This 623-nucleotide ribosomal RNA is filed under the name Anthracocystis elionuri. RNAcentral describes it as "LSU rRNA". It matches the Rfam family "Eukaryotic large subunit ribosomal RNA", at positions 56 to 669 of the family's 3401-position model. Lineage: Eukaryota; Fungi; Basidiomycota; Ustilaginomycetes; Ustilaginales; Ustilaginaceae. The record is from RNAcentral.
CCGAAAGGUCAAGAGCCAAGUAACGGCGAGUGAAGAGGGAAGAGCCCAAGAUUGAAAGCUGGCGUCUUCGGCGUCCGCAUUGUAAUCUCAAGAAGUGUUUUCCGCUUCGGACCAUGCCUAAGUCCCUUGGAAAAGGGCAUCAUAGAGGGUGAUAAUCCCGUACAUGGCAUGGAGCGCCCGAGGCUUUGUGAUACGCUUUCUAAGAGUCGAGUUGUUUGGGAAUGCAGCUCAAAAUGGGUGGUAAAUGCCAUCUAAGGCUAAAUAUUGGGGAGAGACCGAUAGCGAACAAGUACAGUGAUGGAAAGAUGAAAAGAACUUUGAAAAGAGAGUUAAACAGUACGUGAAAUUGCCAAAAGGGAAGGGUAGGAGGUCAGAGAUGCGUCUUGGGAUUCAGCCUUGCUUUUGCUUGGUGUUUUUCCCAAGUUGCAGGCCAACGUCGGUUUUGGGCACUGGAGAAGGGUGGAAGGAACGUGGCACCUCUCGGGGUGUGUUAUAGCCUUCUACUGGAUACAGCGACCGAGACCGAGGACAGCAGCGUACUCGCAAGAGCGGGCCUUCGGGCACCUUUACGCUUAGGGCGUUGGCAUAAUGGCCCUCUACCACCCUCUGAAAAAAGGGAAAAA